GUAUAGGGGAAGUGAGUCAUUAGUCCAUUUUGUUGAUAAACAGAUGGCAAGAGGUUCACAGAUAAUAACAUUACACCAUUUUGUUGAAGGACAAAUGGCAUGUAAUAAUCCUUUAAGCACUAAAUGCCUUCUGGAUUUGUAGAGUAGUUUGCUAUAUUUAUGUUACUUCUCUUUCACUAACCAAACUUCCUCCUAGUUUUAUGAUUUUUCCCUUGUAGUUGAUAUGUUCACUAACAUAAUGAUAGAGUAUAUAUAACAUCUUUUGCAAAUACACCUAACAGCAAUUGUACACGAGAUUGUACAAUUUUCGUGUAUUGCUCAGUUGCUUGAACUUUCCUAAACAUAUGUUAUCCGAUGAUGAUUACUCGACCACUUAAUAAAUAAAGUUUUUAGCGAUCAAGACAUUUUCAUGGAAUUAAUACACAUCAAGUCCAGAUGGUUGCAUAUCUUACAAAUUGAAGGCCUUACCUACUCUUUGGAAAAUUGGAAUGUGGGAAGAUGGUAAAAUGAUUCGUGAAGUGUGACAAAAUUCUUUUGGCUGCAAAAGGUGGUUUGCUAUAUCUCUUGAAAUUUUUCUGUAACUAACUUUUGUAUUAAUUUUUAGGGUUUUACAUAUACUUGAUGUGUUAGUUAACAGUUCUGAUAAAGAAUGGCAGUGAUCCACGUAAAAUACCUUUAACUAGUAAUUGGUCUCUUUCUUCUGGCGUUAUAGAGAAGUUGCUGUAUAUAUUGUAAUUUUCUUUCACUAACUAACCUUUCCUCUAAUUUUCUGAUUUUUAACUUCCACUUGAUACGUUAGUUAAAACUUAAUGGCAUAGUAUAGGGGAAGUGAGUCAUUAGUCCAUUUUGUUGAUAAACAGAUGGCAAGAGGUUCACAGAGUAAUAACAUUACACCAUUUUGUUGAAGGACAAAUGGCAUGUAAUAAUCCUUUAAGCACUAAAUGCCUUCUGGAUUUGUAGAGUAGUUUGCUAUAUUUAUGUUACUUCUCUUUCACUAACCAAACUUCCUCCUAGUUUUAUGAUUUUUCCCUUGUAGUUGAUAUGUUCACUAACAUAAUGAUAAAGUAUAGGGGAAGUGAGUCAUAAGCCCAUGUUGUUGAACAAAACAUGGCAAGAGAGCCAGUGAGUCAUAACAUUACACCAUUUUGUUGAAGGACAAAUGGCAUGUAAUACUCCUUUGGGCACUAAAUGCCUUCUGGACUUGUAGGGUAGUUUGCUAUAUGUAUGGUACUCAUCUUUCACUAACCAAUCUUUCUUCUAAUUUUAUGAUUUUUCUUUUUUAGUUGAUAUGUUAACUAACAGAUAAUGAUAUAGUACAGGGGAAGUGAGUCAUAAGCCCAUCUUGUUGCUCAAUAAAUGGCAAAUGGAGUAAAGAGCAAUAAUAUUACAUCAUUUUGUUGAUGGAGAAAUGCCAUGUAAUAUCCCUUUCGGCAAUAAAUGCCUCCUGGUCUUAUAGGGUAGUGUGGCUGUAUGUGUUGUAUUUGUCUUUCACUUUUCCGCCUUUCGCUUUUAUUUAAUAUCUUAGUAGACACAUUCUGACAAAGUAUAAGGAAAGUGAGCUGUAAGACCAAAUUUUGUGAUAUCCCUGCUUAUAUGUGUAACAAACUUAUUUGUUUGGUGAUAUGUUUCGCGGUUACUAUGCAUUAAGAUUUCCCUUUCAUAUUCCGCUGUUUAAUGUUGCUGCCCUGCACUGAUGGUAACCAUUAGAAACUUAUUUUAAUUUUCUAGUUUCACAAUAAUUUUUGUCAUUGUGAUCUGUGGUUACUUGUCCAUAAGCAGUUUUCUUAAAGGCUACUCAUUAGUUGUUUUGUCAAUGUCAAAUGGCAAUCCCUGAAAGUUGUUUCCUUCUUCAAAAUUAACCAAUCGAAGGACUGCAUAAAAGUAUUGAAUUACAGUACAGUUAAAUACCAGAUAUAUCAGUAUAAAUGUGUUAUUGUAUUGAAACGUGCAGCAGUGGAAAUGAAUGUUUACGUUAAUAGCAGUUAUGAAAGUCCUUCUAUGCAGGAUAGCUGUGUGUUGGAAUUAAAAAAGAAAAAGAGAGUGGAGCUGUAGGACCUGGUUGGUGUUGUGGUUAUGGUGGUGGCCAGGGAUAAAUGAUCUGCUGUUAUGAAAGAGAUUACCUAUUUCUCUGCUACCUCCCUUCUUCAUCUUCUUCUUCUUCUUCUUCUUCUCCUCUCUCUCUCUCUCCUUUUUUUUUAAAUACCUACUCUACUUCUGAUUUGUUGAGAUUUAUUCAAAGGUAAUUUUAGCUGCUUCUUGUGUUUACGUUGCACAUGACAUUGUAUGAAAUAAAUUGACAAUAUUUGUAGUCUAGUUUAAUGUGUUGUUCUUUAAUUGUUAAAUUAUUUUUAAUGUUAUCAAUGUUUAUGAAAGAAGUAGUAAAAUUACAUUAGUGUAACAGUCUUUUAUUUUCGGUAAAAAGGUGGAAAAGGAAAAGGUAAUCUGUAUAGGAGUUUCAUUUUUAAGUGUUUUGAGUUUGAUCACUGGUAUUGAGGACAUUGUUAUGCUCCUAAGGAAUGCGUACUUUUUCUAAAAAAGAAAAUAAAACAUUACCCCACUUAGCUUGCUUAUCAAUAAAAUCAUACUUUCCACCUUAUAUUGGUGUGCUUUUUUGUGAUCAGUCUUUUUUUUAACUAAGACACAUUUUUGUGAUUUGUACAAAACUUCUUAAAACUUAUAUACAGUAUUUUGAAAUUACAUUUUAUACAAAGUUUUAAACAUCUUACUAUAAAAAUAUGUAAUCCAUGCAGUUUUUGAAACCUCAGAAUUUGUUAUUGUUCAAUAAUGGUUUCAAUAUUUUUUCCAUGUAUAAGUAAAUGUAAGGAUCAAUAAACUAAAAUUAUAAGGGAUUGCACUAUCCUUAUAGCACUUUCUGAUAUACCAUGCUUACUUUGUGGUUCCUCUAUGUAUGGUUAGUUAAGAAUAUGUUGUAAAUAUCCCACUAUUGCUUUCAGAAGAUAGACCUUGAAGAAACUUAAUAUGAUACACUUGUAUACUGAUUGGUGUUUGGAACACAAUUUGUUUAAUACAUAUGUUCAUAAAUUGUUGUCUGCAGUAAAAUUGACUGUUGUAUCUUGAAGUAAAAUACAUAUAUACUACAUAUUCUGAACCACACGAAUAUUGCUCUGAAGUUGCUGGCAGCUACAUUCAUUUUGCAAAUGCCAAAUGCUAAUUUUUGCAAUUAGCAAAGAAAUAACCACAUCCAACAGGUUAUCUUGAUAGACAAUAAAAUUCAGAAUAAGACAGUAGCUGUCAUAAAUAUUGACUAGUUGAAUGGGCAGAAAAUAAAGUUUUAAUCAUGAAAGUUUUAACUGUAAAAAGAAAUAUGUUGUGCUUAAUUGGAUUGUCUUCCUGUUGAAGAUAGCUUGCUCAAAUGUUCAGGCCUGACAGCGAUGGCCAUGUUCUUAGUAAUAAGUUACAUGCAAAGUUUGGCAUAUAUGUAUGUAGCUAAUUGCCAGGCAUUGCUUUUCAAAACAUCACUUUUAGACAAUAUUAGAAAAAUAAGUAUCCACGGUAAUGUAGUUGAAAUAAAUGGCACACUCCAAAGAACAAGUUGAAGUACCAUGUUCCUUAUUUGUGCCUAUAUUCAACGCGAUGCCUCUACCAUAUAGUGAGUGGUUAUUUUCACUCAUUCUCUUCUUCAUAUUUUACUCAACCUUUUCUAAUAUUGUAUCAUUCAUUGUAACUUCUGUGUGUAAUUGAAUUAAACAGUUCACGUAAUUUGUCACUUAAUGCCCAUAUACUAUGUAAAGAACAGUGCAUGUAUAUUAAACUUCACUGCUGUUUCACACUUAAUUAGUAGUAUGAUUCAGACAAUAAUUACAGUUGAGACACAAGAUUUUUAAAAGGCUUGAAAAAUAAUUUGAAUACCUCAGGUGAAGGAAAGGCCAUAACAAACAGAAAUAGUGACAAAAAAAAUAUCUAAGAAACCUCUACCUUGAGUGUUACAUUCUCAGUUCCAAACUUGCAUCUGCUAAGUGAGCUGUGAUUUGUUUGUUCAUUCUUUUUUGAAAUGAUAUGUCUAGAUCUUGUUAUGGAAGGCCAGUGUAAGUUCAGUCCCCCCCCCCCCCCCCCCCCCCCGAACUCUGAAAUCCCACACUAUGCAAUCAUAAGAACACGUAAUAUACUAGAAUUAUUGUGAAGAUAAUUUCCCAGCAUUAUUUCCAGAAAAUGACAACAUGUGCCUAAAUGACUGAUGUAACAAAUGAACUUGCAUUUUCUGUAAAUCUUACUUAGUAACGUACUACAUUUUUAUAAAUCUUUCUUACCAAAUUUUUUAUGAGAAAGGACAAAGUAAAUAUCAUUCCUCAAAAUGCCCCCUGCACUUAUCUAACGGAAGGAAGAUUAAGGAAAGAUCACAGAACCUACCCUGCAGCUUCCCAGUUGAACAAAAAGAUAAGCGUAUUGGACAAUAGGUGAUGGAGUGUUGAAGGAGACUGAUGUGACUGUGGUGCAUUGGUGCAUACAUAGACUCAAGGUGUUAGAAAUGUUGUGUGUCAGUAAUAAUAAUAAUAAUAAUAAUAAUAAUAAUGGAACAACAAGGAAACCAUGUACAAUGUUCUUCAAAUUAAUAAUGACUGCUAAAGUAACUAUGUUCACGAGAACAAAAAUAUAUAUGCAAAUGGCCAUUCUUUUUCUGUCCCAUCACUUUUGCUAUCUAAGCUUAAUCUUCAGAAGGAGAAGAUGAGGGAAGGCGGUGUUGUAGGGCAAGAAAAGAGAUGAGCAAGUCACUCACAUGAUUAGCCCAGAUUAGUAACAACAGAAAUGGUAAUUAUGCCAUCUGAAGAAUUGCAGUAAAAAUGGAAUGCAAUUUGUGACUGACCUGCUCCUCAAUUUUGCUGACAGUGCCUUUCCUUUUUGCUUUGCUUUCUUUUUUACAGUUAUCAGUCUAUAAAUUAGGCUAUUAGUGUUUCAGUAUUUGUUCCUGGUAAGUGUUAACCAUUUAUUUUAAUUUGCAACAUUACACAUAAUGAAAGCUUUUCAAGGUCUAUCUUCUCUACAAUUAAAUUUGUGAUAUAACAUGCAAGGGCAAAUAUGAAAAUGUCAUUAUGUGAUAUUUAUGAAGUAUAAGACUGCAGAGUUAGCCUUCUCUAUCUACUAUUGUCUUUCCACCUUCUCAUUUUGGAAACUGUAAAUAGAUGUACAUAAUAUAUAUGAAGACCAAAAACUGAAAAAUAUAACUACACGGGUUGCAGACAUGGGCCCCAAAAAGAAAACAUGAAGAAAUUGCUUCAUAAUUGAAAGUCUGAGACAUUUUUCAUCUGAGGAUAGUAGUGUUCAUUUAAUUGGGAUGUUGACCAAGAGCACAACUAUUCAAAACAUAAGACUAUUCCUGAUAUAAUCAAUGCAUUUUUGCAACUGUCACUUAGGUGAAAAAUUUAUUAUAAAAGCUUAAUUUGUAUGUGGUGAAAUAAGUUUCUUGUGUGUCUGCAAGUUUCAUUAGCAUUAAGUCUUUAAAUGUGAGAAGGGGCCCAUUUCUCCAUCCAUUGUCUGUAUGUAAUAAUUAAUUUUUCACCUUGGGGCCACAACUUCACUCCAUUCUUUUAUGAAAUUAAAUUCUGUUUGAUCAUUAUAUGUAAUUUGCUCAAUACGUCAAUUACUACACUGAGAUAUAGUGAAUAUCUGGGUAGUGUUGUUGACAACUUACGAUUUUCCAUACUAACUCUUUUUUAGAGAUUUAUCCACUCAUAUUUUAUGAGCACUUGUAUGCUGUAGUCAUUCAUGUAACUCUUAUAGAGCUCCACAAGGGUGCCAUGUUGUUUAUCAAAUUUAAAGAAUGUUGGUCAUUUUUUCCAUACUUGAAGAUGUUCUCUCUCUUUCUGUCUGUGUGUGUGUGUGUGUGUGUGUGUGUGUGUGUGUAAAAUUACCGUUUUUUCUGUUAAGACAAACUCAUAUUGAUAGUGCCUUUAACACAUCUGAAAUGUCUUGUCAUUUCUGAUGUUAAUAACAGCUGCCUAGAGUUCCUCAAAUUACCUGUGAUUUUCUUGAAACCAGCGCAUCUCUACAUUUAUCCAUACUGGUGUGAACUUUCUUAAACCAGUUGUGUGUUCUACCCAUUUUUGUAAAUACUUUGGUUGGGUUGGCAGUAAUAGCUUGAACUAUUCACAUGUGGUAGUUGCCUUGUAACCAUAAAUUUGUGAAAUUCCUGUUCCUUGAUAUGUACAUAAAAAUACUUUGAAAGAGAACCAUUUCAAAGUAAAAAAAUCUAGGAAUUCGUGUAUAAUAUUCUCAAAGUUCAUAUGGAAAAGGAAAUAUUGUGAAUCUAAGAAGUUGUGGCUCCAGUGGUAAAUGCUUUAAAUCUAUUGAAAUAUUUGUAAUAUGGGUUGUUUCAUCUGUUUAAGAUUCAUUGGAAUCUUAUGCAGUCAAGUUUCCAAAUUUUCAUAGAUUUUUAAUUCAGUUACAUUGUUCUGAUAAAGUUACGGGUAUAAUCUUUGUAAUUAACUUUGUUCAUAAUCUUUGUUUUUUUUUUAUUUUAAGAAUAAACGAAAGGAGUUAACUAGCUUUAAGUAUGGAGUGUGGAGCAAUGCUCCGGUGUGGACAUUUGUUCAUUGCAUUUUUUCAUUGUGCCAUUGUUGAGGUAUGUUUAUUACUUACCUGUAAUAAUAAACAUUUGUUAAUAUCUACAGCAUGUGAUUCCCUCAUCUUUUACAAAUUUUAUAUAUCAGUCAUUUUGUACAGAAAUGUAAAUUAUAUAAAAAAACUUAUUUUCAAACUAUUUGAUCAGUAUCCCACUCUGUGCACUUAAAUUCUCUGAGAACAUUGUUAUUGCGGUGUUGAUGCUUAAAUAAAUUAUUUGAAAACAUUCCUAGGUAACUCUGUCCCUCUUCACUCCUCAAUACCCCAUUAUGCCCAGAUUUUUAAAAACUAGUACCACAUUUUAUUUAGUUCGUAGCUACAGGAAAUGGAACAUGCUUGUGAGUGCAAUCUGGUAAACCCUUUGUACUCAGCAAUACAUCUUUGUUGAGACACUCGACUGCUUUUGUAAACUUGAAGUGAAGUAAUAGUUUUCCCUGUGAGUGAAAUGGAGUUAAGUCACUCCAAAGCAUGUACAGGAGUUAAAUAAAAUUAUGUAAAAAUUGA
This is an RNA transcript of Schistocerca serialis cubense, 7080 nucleotides long. It is a transcript of the gene named protein N-terminal glutamine amidohydrolase, with no coding region annotated. The record is from RefSeq and is a predicted model, not a curated record. The transcript is spliced from 2 exons. Lineage: Eukaryota; Metazoa; Arthropoda; Insecta; Orthoptera; Acrididae.